This 733-nucleotide long non-coding RNA is filed under the name Homo sapiens (human). RNAcentral's name for it is "long non-coding RNA NONHSAT161912.1". The record is from RNAcentral. Lineage: Eukaryota; Metazoa; Chordata; Mammalia; Primates; Hominidae.
ACAUUUCUGCUCAUGCUCCUUAUACUCUGCCCUUACCAUGAGAAGAUAUGCCUGGGCUAGCCCCUCUGAUCCCAGAAGGGGGAAGGUAGAUACAAGGUCAACCCACAGGUGCAUGAGUGAGCCCAGCUGAGUGCAGUCUUAGAGAUCAACUAAACCCUACAGGUAAGUGAGAUAUAACUGUUUAUUGAUUAUUGAGUCUGAGUUUUAGAAUGGUAUUCAAUGAGCAUUAUUGUAGCAACAUAUAACUGAUACAUGAGAUGGGUUGUGGAUUGAGAGGUAAGGUGAACCAAUAUUUUGCUUCCUGUGAUAAGAAUAUAAACACUACAGAGACACUCUCCUUAACCUUGUCUGAGGACAGCCAAAACUAUACAAAACAACUUCAAAGCCACAUCACAAAAGAAUUCCAAAGGACUUCAUCUUUCUUAAAGCUCCCCCAAAAAGUUCACUUUGCAAAUCUUAACACAGAGUUUGUUUCUCUGGGGAGUCAAUAUAAGACAGUUGGCAUGAAGAAUUGUUUAGGGAAGAAAACCAUAAAACAAGAUGUUGGAGGUGGAGCACUGGGGAGAGAACACAUGCUGUAGCAGUGCAGUUGCUGAAAAACACCGAUGAGAGAGCAGUGAAAGACGACUCACAGGAUGGUGAUCAUUCAGCAAUUCCUACUGGGGAAAAGGACAGACAACAACGUGGAGUGAGAGUGGGGUCAGAUGACUGUAUCAAUCAUGUGCUCAACACU